AUGGCUGGAGUGGCAACAUCUCGACUUGGCUUGUGGAUGUUUGACUUAUCUGUCAUCCAACAAAUGCAGGAUCAAGUUUCUGAAUCUGAUCGUUGUGUUGUGGGAGGUGUCCAGAACUCUCUUCAGUCUAUUCUAGACUUGUUAGGUUAUGUGAUGGGAAUAAUCAUCUCCAAUCCACAGGAUUUCUGGGAAUUGACUUUAUUAUCAUUUUCAGCGGUAACAUUGGCUGCAUUACUCUACAGCAUUUAUCUAUUUCGUGUUCGGAAGCAC
This 270-nucleotide unclassified non-coding RNA is filed under the name Hevea brasiliensis (rubber tree). Lineage: Eukaryota; Viridiplantae; Streptophyta; Magnoliopsida; Malpighiales; Euphorbiaceae. The record is from RNAcentral.